UUCCGGUUGAUCCCGCCGGAAGUCACUGCUAUCGGUGUUCGACUAAGCCAUGCGAGUCAAAUGUUCUUCGUGAACAUGGCGUACUGCUCAGUAACACGUGGAUAACCUGCCCUUAGGACUGGCAUAACCCCGGGAAACUGGGGAUAAUUCCGGAUAGUUCAUGGUAGCUGGAAUGCUCCAUGAUCGAAAGCUAUUGCGCCUAAGGAUGGGUCUGCGGUCUAUCAGGUAGUAGUGGGUGUAAUGUACCUACUAGCCGACGACGGAUACGGGUUGUGGGAGCAAGAGCCCGGAGAUGGAUUCUGAGACAUGAAUCCAGGCCCUACGGGGCGCAGCAGACGCGAAAACUUUACAAUGCGGGAAACCGCGAUAAGGGGACACCGAGUGCCAGCAUCUUAUGUUGGCUGUCCGCAUGUAUAAAUCACAUGUGUUAGCAAGGGCCGGGCAAG
RNAcentral lists this ribosomal RNA (446 nucleotides) under uncultured archaeon. RNAcentral's name for it is "bacterial SSU rRNA". It matches the Rfam family "Archaeal small subunit ribosomal RNA", at positions 1 to 450 of the family's 1478-position model. The record is from RNAcentral.